Molecule: long non-coding RNA, 642 nt
Filed under: Triticum aestivum (bread wheat)
Lineage: Eukaryota; Viridiplantae; Streptophyta; Magnoliopsida; Poales; Poaceae
Description: long non-coding RNA (TAES_LNC021297)
Source: RNAcentral
CCCUCUCGAUUCAGCUUCUUCAUUUGCACAAUACAAUUUAGUCCAUCUUGCCAUCAAUCUGAGUCAUAUAUAUCUUGUGUUUAUUCGGCUUAACUGGUCAUAACUGCAAAAUGCAUAUGCGUGAGAAUAUUUUCCAAAAUUCCAAGUAUGUGAUGAUACAUAAUGAAAUCCGUGGUACUUUUUUAAUCAAACCUUCAUUAACCAAAACAAGUUAAGGUACAUUUCUUCGAGAAAAGGAGCAUCAAGGCUCCCAACUUCAUUUUCAUGAAACUAAUAAAGUUAAGGUACAUGGACCGCGAAAUAUCUAUAUAUCAACUACUCCCUCUGUAAACUAAUAUAAGAGUGUUUAGAUCACUAAAAUAGUAAUCUAAGCGCUCUUAUAUUAGUUUACGGUGGGAGUAUGUGAUAUUCAUAUGAUCAAACAUACUAUCCUAAUAUGUUUGAUCAUUGGUCAUUUAUUUUUCAGGGAAAACACACAACGUGGAAUCAGACAUUAUUUCUCUCAAAGCAUUGGUACACUUUUGCUCUGAGCUGUUGCAAGAAUUAACUGCUCUGAGGGAUCUUCUGCUCCUUGAGGUACCCUGCAAAUUUCUCAGCAGUUGCAGCCAGAGGUCCGGUGCUGACCAUAGCUUCAAGCCCGGG